Neogale vison (American mink) is the source of this 1629-nucleotide long non-coding RNA. RefSeq lists it as uncharacterized. The transcript has 2 exons. NCBI's taxonomy places the organism in Eukaryota, Metazoa, Chordata, Mammalia, Carnivora, Mustelidae. The record is from RefSeq and is a predicted model, not a curated record.
GAGGCCGCGCCUGGUUCUGGGGCCUCGGAGUGAGCCAGGGGUUUGUUUCCAGAGGCCGCGUCCAGGCAGUUCUCAUCUGUUGUUGUCUGUGCGGAGACUCUAGUCUGCAGUUUCCUUCCUUCCUGCAGUCCCUUAGUUCUGGGCGGGGGUGGUGGGGGGUCUGCUGGUGGCUUUGUGCUGGCUUCUGCGGCGGGACUGCGGGUGGCCCUUGCCGGGGCUCUGUGCCCCGCAUCGGCCCUUCCUUUAGCCCCCGGUCUUGGCCCUGAGCCAUAUGGGCCCUCGAGGAAGUGUGGGGACGUGAGAAGUGGCUCAGGGGAGUGACAGGUGGCACAUUUCCCACAGCGCAUCCCAGUUCUGGAGAGCAGUCUGGCCGCAUCACUGGGCAAGGAUUCUUGUCUGUUUUUUAAAGUACUUCAGCCCACUCCCACUCCUGUGGACCUCAAAAGGUGGAGACAUUGACCACCAGGACAUUGACUUGUCCUGCGCCGCUGAGCUGUGGCGAGAGGUGACCAUGUCCUGAAGUUUCUGUUCUGGCUUGGUCCACUUCCUCCUUUGUUCUCAGGGUUCAGCAUGAAGCUGCGGGACUGAGCCGGCUCCAGGCCUUGUGGGUUCAGGAGAGGAUCUGAAGCCGGCAGGAGAGGGUGCCUGAGUCCCAAGGACAGGCAACUGGGGCAAGGCUGGCCAAGAGCGCUUGGUGCCAGGAUCCGGCGGAGGGGUACUGUCCCACCCGAGUCCAGUCCUGCGGUGUGCCCUGGGAGGGGAGGUCUCCCCCAGUGAGAAAACCUGGAGGCUGGGCCUGCCCCUGCCCCUGCCUCUGUUCUGAGCCCCUCUCGGGGCUGCUCUACAGCCCCUGGCAGUCAUGGCCAUCAGCCCCAGAGUCCCUGUCCCGCGACCCCAGGUCUCCCUGAGCUGCUGCUGGGGGCUGGGCUGCAGUUGCAACGAGGGGGUGACCUGGGACAAGUGGAGACUGGGAUGUCUCAUCCUGAGCCCAUGAGAUGCUGAGCCAAGACUCACUUCCCAACUACAGCCGAGUUCAUCGGAUGGUUGCCGGCUGCUUGCCUGGCCAGGGCCCAUCAAGGAGAAGGAGGCACCUGCUUGGAACAGUUCGAUUCCUACUGACCUGAUGAACUGAAUGACAGAGGCAGGAGGGUCGGGAAGGGUUUCCGAAGUACGGCCGACCGCGGUGUUCUGUUAGCCUCCCGUGCACAGCAGGGCGAGUGGGCGGUUGCUGAACUGUUCACCGCUGUCAGGGCGCUGUCAGUGGUGCUCGCUGCUCCUGGGGUGUCGCUGGCCGCGUCCCUCUUGCGUCCGGCUCGUCUCUUCUCGUCUCUGUGGGGACUCACCACAGCCCUGCGGCUGUACCUCCUAGUCCCCUCCGCCCGUUUCUCCCACCCCCCAUCCACCUCUUCUCUGAGAAACACCUGUUUGUUCUCUGUAUCUGGGCGUAUUGUUUCUUUACGGUGUUACUUCUAAGUCAUGUCUACACCCAGCAUGGAUGGGGCGUGAACUCACAGUCCCGAGAGACGGAGUCCGUGCGGCCCCAGCUGAGUCAGCAGGCUCCCCAAGCAUACUUUUUGUUUGUUCAUUCGUCUUGUUUUAUAGAUUCUACAUAAAAGUGAAAACGUGGUA